This 385-nucleotide ribosomal RNA is filed under the name uncultured bacterium. RNAcentral describes it as "bacterial SSU rRNA". It matches the Rfam family "Bacterial small subunit ribosomal RNA", at positions 32 to 400 of the family's 1533-position model. The record is from RNAcentral.
AAUCAACGCUGGCGGCGUGCCUAACACAUGCAAGUCGAACGAGAAAGUGACUUCGGUCACUGGACAGUGGCGUCCGGGUGAGUAACACGUGGGUAAUCUACCUUCGGGUGGGGAAUAACGUCUCGAAAGAGACGCUAAUACCGCAUAAUGCAGCGGCACCUUAUGGUGAAUAGUUGUUAAAGCGGGGGAGUCGCAAGACCUCGCGCCUGAAGAGGAGCCUGCGGCAGAUAGCUAGUUGGUGAGGUAAUGGCUCACCAAGGCUGCGAUCUGUAGCUGGUCUGAGAGGACGGCCAGCCACACUGGCACUGACACACGGGCCAGACUCCUACGGGAGGCAGCAGUGGGAAUUUUGGACAAUGGGGUAACCCUGAUCCAGCCAUGCCGC